UACGGAGGGAGCUAGCGUUGUUCGGAAUUACUGGGCGUAAAGCGCACGUAGGCGGCUUUGUAAGUUAGAGGUGAAAGCCCGGGGCUCAACCCCGGAAUUGCCUUUAAGACUGCAUCGCUUGAAUCCGGGAGAGGUGAGUGGAAUUCCGAGUGUAGAGGUGAAAUUCGUAGAUAUCGGGAGGAACACCUGUGGCGAAGGCGGCGAUCUGGCCCAACAUUGACACUCAGACCCGAAAGUGCGGGGAUCAAACAGG
RNAcentral lists this ribosomal RNA (253 nucleotides) under uncultured bacterium. RNAcentral's name for it is "partial 16S ribosomal RNA". It matches the Rfam family "Bacterial small subunit ribosomal RNA", at positions 524 to 776 of the family's 1533-position model. The record is from RNAcentral.